This 392-nucleotide unclassified non-coding RNA is filed under the name Hevea brasiliensis (rubber tree). Lineage: Eukaryota; Viridiplantae; Streptophyta; Magnoliopsida; Malpighiales; Euphorbiaceae. The record is from RNAcentral.
GGUGAAGGAUGAGGGCUCAGUGGCUACCAUUGGCAUCACUGACCAUGCUCAAGGCCAUCUAGGAGAUCUGGUGUUUGUGGAGCUCCCGGAGGCCGGGACCUCGGUCACGAAAGGUGCCAGCUUCGGGGCAGUGGAGAGUGUGAAGGCUACCAGUGAUGUGAACUCCCCAGUUUCUGGUGAAGUUGUGGAGGUCAACACUAAGCUCAGUGAAACUCCUGGCCUGAUUAAUUCGAGCCCGUACAAUGAUGGAUGGAUGAUCAAGAUUCGACCAAGUAGCUCAUCAGAGUUAGAUUCCUUGAUGGGACCAGAGGCGUACACAAAGUUUUGUGAAGAAGAAGAUGCGAGCCAUUAGAGCACUAUUAUUUGUGGCUUGUAGCCCUCUAACUUGUUUC